Molecule: ribosomal RNA, 483 nt
Filed under: uncultured bacterium
Lineage: Bacteria
Description: partial 16S ribosomal RNA
Rfam family: Bacterial small subunit ribosomal RNA
Source: RNAcentral
AUUGAACGCUGGCGGCAGGCCUAACACAUGCAAGUCGAGCGGAUGAAGGGAGCUUGCUCCUGGAUUCAGCGGCGGACGGGUGAGUAAUGCCUAGGAAUCUGCCUGGUAGUGGGGGAUAACGUCCGGAAACGGGCGCUAAUACCGCAUACGUCCUGAGGGAGAAAGUGGGGGAUCUUCGGACCUCACGCUAUCAGAUGAGCCUAGGUCGGAUUAGCUAGUUGGUGGGGUAAAGGCCUACCAAGGCGACGAUCCGUAACUGGUCUGAGAGGAUGAUCAGUCACACUGGAACUGAGACACGGUCCCGACUCCUACGUGAGGCAGCAGUGGGGAAUAUUGGACAAUGGGCGAAAGCCUGAUCCAGCCAUGCCGCGUGUGUGAAGAAGGUCUUCGGAUUGUAAAGCACUUUAAGUUGGGAGGAAGGGCAGUAAGUUAAUACCUUGCUGUUUUGACGUUACCAACAGAAUAAGCACCGGCUAACUUCGU